GCGCUGGUAGUUUAAGGGUAGAAUUCGAGCUUCCCAUCGGAUGUCUGCUCGAGGGUGAGCACAUCUACCGCCUUUCGUCCGUUGUACACAUACUAACACAUGACAGACCGAGUUCGAGUCUCGGCCAGCGCA
Molecule: non-coding RNA, 132 nt
Organism: Teratosphaeriaceae sp. CCFEE 6253
Lineage: Eukaryota; Fungi; Ascomycota; Dothideomycetes; Mycosphaerellales; Teratosphaeriaceae
Source: the annotation of a GenBank genome assembly